UGCCAUGGCCAGGCACUGAGGGCCAGCACAAGGGCACUUGCUGGUCCAGGGGCAACUUUGGGUUGCAAUCUAACAACAUAUUAAUUCUAACUUCUCCAUAUAAAAUGGAAAUCUGUUCUGAAUUUGCUGUAAGUUUCUAUGGAAGCUAACUGAGGACCCUAUAGUUGUUCAACAAAUGUUUGUUAUAUGAAAACAAAAGGGAA
Molecule: long non-coding RNA, 203 nt
Filed under: Pan troglodytes (chimpanzee)
Lineage: Eukaryota; Metazoa; Chordata; Mammalia; Primates; Hominidae
Description: long non-coding RNA NONPTRT010021
Source: RNAcentral